CCGCUGUUCUCCUCCUCGCCUUCCUCCAAGCCCUAGAUAUCCCUUCAAGGAGGGCCUCCGGGGUAGAAGACAUGGUGUGGGAACCCUCAGAGAAGAAGUGGGGGGCUGAAGAAGGCAGGGACUGGUGCAAGGGAAGUAGCUGAGUAGCUAGGCUCUCAGGUGAAAGAAAGGUACCGUCCUAUCGACAGGAUGAAGCCAUGAAGGAAGAUUAGGGGGUUUAAAUAGCCGACGGAUCCUAGCGCAGUUAUGGCGGCAGGUGUUCCUGGGCCAACUGGUGCGUGCCACGCAUCCCGCAUGUCCCC
Molecule: long non-coding RNA, 302 nt
Filed under: Elaeis guineensis (African oil palm)
Lineage: Eukaryota; Viridiplantae; Streptophyta; Magnoliopsida; Arecales; Arecaceae
Description: long non-coding RNA (EGUI_LNC070690)
Source: RNAcentral